CAGACGGCAGACCUGAUCGAGCAUUUGUGGACGGAUACAUUGCUAGUCCUGGCUAUGUCCCUGGCUUGAAUGCUCUAAAACCAUCUAGAGCAGGGGGAGACUUAUCGCGCGAAUGCAUGCGUUAUUGUUGUGCCAGUCUGCCAGAGCAUGACUGCGCUAAUCGACUGCAGAAAAUUAGGUGUCUCAAGAAACUAGAAAAAUUUAGAAGGCUUAUAACAAGACGAUCAACGUAGCCUGCGUAAUGCGUAAAUAAUCC
Paramuricea clavata is the source of this 256-nucleotide non-coding RNA. The record is from the annotation of a GenBank genome assembly. NCBI's taxonomy places the organism in Eukaryota, Metazoa, Cnidaria, Anthozoa, Malacalcyonacea, Plexauridae.